Molecule: ribosomal RNA, 769 nt
Filed under: uncultured bacterium
Lineage: Bacteria
Description: bacterial SSU rRNA
Rfam family: Bacterial small subunit ribosomal RNA
Source: RNAcentral
CGGGAGAAAUUCCGACUAAUACCGCAUACGUCCUCCGGGGGCAUCCCCGGGGGAUGAAAGAAUUAUCGGUGAAGGAUGGGCAUGCGUGAUAUUAGGUAGUUGGCGGGGCAACGGCCCACCAAGCCCACGAUAUCUAGGGGUUCUGAGAGGAAGGUCCCCCACAUUGGUACUGAGACACGGACCAAACUCCUACGGGAGGCAGCAGUGAGGAAUAUUGGUCAAUGGACGAGAGUCUGAACCAGCCAAGUCGCGUGAGGGAAGACGGAUCUAUGGUUUGUAAACUUCUUUAGUGCGGGAACAAAGCGGCGUCGUGACGCCUGAUGAGUGUACCGCAAGAAUAAGCAUCGGCUAACUCCGUGCCAGCAGCCGCGGUAAUACGGUGGAUGCGAGCGUUAUCCGGAUUUAUUGGGUUUAAAGGGAGCGCAGGCUGCGAGGCAAGUCAGCGGUCAAAUGUCGGGGCUCAACCCCGGCCUGCCGUUGAAACUGUCCUGCUAGAGUUCGAGUGAGGUAUGCGGAAUGCGUUGUGUAGCGGUGAAAUGCAUAGAUAUGACGCAGAACUCCGAUUGCGAAGGCAGCAUACCAACUCGCGACUGACGCUGAGGCUCGAAAGCGUGGGUAUCGAACAGGAUUAGAUACCCUGGUAGUCCACGCAGUAAACGAUGAAUACUAACUGUUCGGAGGGCGACCUCUGAGUGGUAAAGCGAAAGCGUUAAGUAUUCCACCUGGGGAGUACGCCGGCAACGGUGAAACUCAAAGGAGUUGACGGGGG